CUGAAGGCGGGCAAUGGCGUCGAAGGUCACAUAGAAAAUGUCGGAUCAGAGAUCGGUGACGGCCAGAUGUUCCUCGUCUCGGCUCUGUUAAGCAGAAGAAAUUCAUCGCCCCCUGCAAAUACAACUCAAAUCUAGACCACAAUUAGUGGCACUUGGACAUAAAUCUAUUUGAGGAAUGCAGCUUAGGCCACAAAGCUCUCUUCUUUCCAUCGACACCGAACUAGAUGCCGAAUCGCUGAUACUGAAAUAUGCACACAAGAAUAGGGUGGGACUUUGGAGUCCUUGAGCUGAGCCUGUGCAAUCAUAAGGCUCUCCACAAGAUUGCUGUUGUGUCGAGGAACAUUUUCACAUGUAUUCCUCUUGAAGAGCUUGGGACCGGUAUCUGUAGAAAGCUCUUGUUCUCUUCCCAACUCUGUCAGGUAAGCUUUUAGCGGAAUAGGCUGAAGCAUCAGAUGCAUAAAGUCUUUGUUUUAUUAUGCAAACAACUGGUUUGGUGAUCUAAUGCUGGUGCCAUCUUUCUGUAUCUCCUGCUUAUUUUAAGCAUAAGCCGAACAGAGUGCUUGUGCAACUAAAUGACAAGUUUGGUGCCCAUA
Diospyros lotus (date-plum) is the source of this 593-nucleotide long non-coding RNA. RefSeq lists it as uncharacterized. Lineage: Eukaryota; Viridiplantae; Streptophyta; Magnoliopsida; Ericales; Ebenaceae. The record is from RefSeq and is a predicted model, not a curated record. The transcript is spliced from 3 exons.